UACGUAGGGGGCUAGCGUUGUCCGGAAUCAUUGGGCGUAAAGAGCGCGUAGGCGGCCAGAUAAGUCCGGUGUGAAAGUCAAAGGCUCAACCUUUGAAUGCCGCUGGAAACUGUCUGGCUAGAGUCCGGGAGGGGCGAGUGGAAUUCCUGGUGUAGCGGUGAAAUGCGCAGAUAUCAGGAGGAACACCAAUGGCGAAGGCAGCUCGCUGGGACGGUACUGACGCUAAGGCGCGAAAGCGUGAGGAGCGAGCAGG
RNAcentral lists this ribosomal RNA (253 nucleotides) under uncultured bacterium. RNAcentral's name for it is "partial 16S ribosomal RNA". It matches the Rfam family "Bacterial small subunit ribosomal RNA", at positions 524 to 776 of the family's 1533-position model. The record is from RNAcentral.